This 301-nucleotide ribosomal RNA is filed under the name uncultured bacterium. RNAcentral describes it as "partial 16S ribosomal RNA". It matches the Rfam family "Bacterial small subunit ribosomal RNA", at positions 509 to 809 of the family's 1533-position model. The record is from RNAcentral.
CAGUAGCCGCGGUAAUACAGAGGGUGCGAGCGUUAAUCGGAUUUACUGGGCGUAAAGCGUGCGUAGGCGGCUUUUUAAGUCGGAUGUGAAAUCCCUGAGCUUAACUUAGGAAUUGCAUUCGAUACUGGGAAGCUAGAGUAUGGGAGAGGAUGGUAGAAUUCCAGGUGUAGCGGUGAAAUGCGUAGAGAUCUGGAGGAAUACCGAUGGCGAAGGCAGCCAUCUGGCCUAAUACUGACGCUGAGGUACGAAAGCAUGGGGAGCAAACAGGAUUAGAUACCCGCGUAGUCCCUGUCUCUUAUAU